Non-coding RNA from Podarcis lilfordi (Lilford's wall lizard), 84 nucleotides. The record is from the annotation of a GenBank genome assembly. NCBI's taxonomy places the organism in Eukaryota, Metazoa, Chordata, Lepidosauria, Squamata, Lacertidae.
GGUGCCAUAGCUCAGUGGCAGAGUAUCUGCUUUGAAUGCAGAAGGCCCUGGGAAAGUCUCUUGUCUAGAACCCUGGAGACAGUA